CCCCUCUCAGGUUCGCACCUGGAGAGUUUCCAGUACUCUACCAUUCUUGGCUAUGGGAGGGAGAGUCCAGCAGAGACAUACCCAUUCCAUUCCUAGCUUGGCCAGUGGUCAGCGAUUGGAAGGCAAUCUGCGACAAGU
Molecule: small nucleolar RNA, 138 nt
Filed under: Ornithorhynchus anatinus (platypus)
Lineage: Eukaryota; Metazoa; Chordata; Mammalia; Monotremata; Ornithorhynchidae
Source: RNAcentral